RNAcentral lists this long non-coding RNA (2120 nucleotides) under Homo sapiens (human). RNAcentral describes it as "HSALNT0373555". Lineage: Eukaryota; Metazoa; Chordata; Mammalia; Primates; Hominidae. The record is from RNAcentral.
CUGAGUUCCAAUGUCAAGUCUUACAAUCACUGCAUUCUCCUUCACCAAGUACACAGAUUCUCUCUCCACACCAUGGGGCCAGGGCCACUGCCAGGAGAUGGGGAAAAGGUGGCAUUGGCAAUUUUAGGCUGCCUUUACUAAUGUCUUCAAUGCCUCUUUCUGUGAUAUGAAGAUAAAACCAGGAUAUUACACCUUCAUACUUCACAAAAUCUUCUAAGACUAAAUGAAAUGGAGAUUGUAUUUCAUCUCUUCAUCUUAUUUCAACAUCCUCUACAAGCCUAUUUCCCAGCCUGUGGAAUAAGCAAGAUAAGAUGACAGUUCCCUCUGGAGUGUAUCAAAACAUGCCAUAGCAAUAAAAACCAUGAUAGCAGAUAUUAAAGUUUCUGACCCCAGUUGUGGAUUCUCAGCUUCUUAGCCACUGGAGAAUGGCCUUGAGCCUGGCCUCACUAUCUCUCUUUCUCUAGUCAGUGUACAUGGUGUUUCACAAACACUAUGAAACUAAGAAAUCUUUUUUUCAGAAUUGAGUUCUAGGGAUGAUUUAAAUCUUUUAACCCAAUGGCAAAUUCCUCCAACCUGCAGGGUUAAUCAACCAUUCAGUCAAUCAACUUUUGAAGACCUGAAGGAAAAUGUUACAGAGGUCUACCUAAGACACAUGGGGGGUCACAUUAAAGGGAUAAAAAUGUGUUGUUACUUAAAAGAUGUUACAACUGAAUUAUGGAAAUAAAUGAUACAUGUAAUUGGAAUAGAUAUGACCAAAUUAAAAAUAAACUGACUGUUGACAUAGCCCUUUAUUUUCUACUGUGUUUAAGACACUAUGUUAGACAUAAAGAUGAAUUAGGCAAAGAGACUUCCCUCACAGAUCCUUGCACUAGAAAUAAGAAAGGUUAAUGCAUACAUAGAGUAGAAUAGAAUAUAGUAAAUGAUAAGUGCUGUUAAGAAAGAUAUGAAUCAACAUCAAUAGAAGAUCACAAGAGAAAGUGAUUCUUUUCAUGAAGUAAAAUCAAGAAAGACUUCCUAGAGAGAGUAGGAUUUGAACAAGUCUUGAAGAACAGAUAUAAUUUAGUUAUGGAAACUGAAUUAAAAAAAAGACCAUCCACAAAUAGAAAAAAAUGUGGCAUGAAUAAAUUUUAAAAAUGACUUGUACACUAAAGAAUUUUAUAUUAAUUCUGUAGAAUAUAAUUUUCAAAACUAUUUUCUGGAACAUCAGUACCUGUUGAGAUGUAAAUGGAUAUUCCAUUAGAAAUAAAGAUUCUUUAGAAGAAUAAAAUUUGUGAAAGAAUGAGUAUCCUAUAAAUCAAGAGAUCCAUAGGGUUAGUACUCAUGAAGUAGAGACUGUUAUUACAAUUAUGAAUAUUACUACUACGACUACUACCAACACCACCAUUGCUAUUUCUAAAUAGAAACUAAAGCCAUUGGAAUGUAAGGAUGAGACGUUAUGGGCUUAAGAGUGAGCAAGUAGCCUGAAUGGCGCUCUGCCUUGUAAAUGUAAUCAGCUAUGUUUUUGAAUGAGAACAGAAGAGACAGGGUGACUUUGCUAAAACAGAGGCCAGAUUUUGUCGCUUUUCUAAUUAUUACUUUGCACUGGUUUCUUGUCUCACUUACAGAAAAAGCCAUGAUUCUCAUUCUGGUCUUUUAAGGCCUUCUGUCUAGUCUCUACUAUCUCUCCAUCAUUAUCGCCUGUCUCUCUCUCUAAAAUACUGCUUUAGCCACACUACUCUAUUACUACCAAACUUUAGUAUAACUACACAACCCAUUAUGACUUUUUUAUAACUUUCAAUCCCCUUAACUUGUUAAAUUUUUAUUUAUCAAACUUAUCACCCUCUCAUAUCCAAAUAUUUUUCCCUCUGUCACUAAUAGUCAAAUGACUCCUCUAUUAUAAGACUGCUGGAACAAAUUAAUUUAUGUAUUUCCAGUGCCUAUAACAGUGCCAGGCAUUUAAUAGUUACUCAAAUAGGUACAGCAAGAACUCAAUGAAGAGAAAAUUAAAGGUGUGGAAUCAUUUAAAAGUGUUUUGCUAUAGCAAGUGUAAAAGGAAAUAGGACUUUAACUUAGGUGAGAAUAGAGAAGACAUUAAAGAGUAAUAUUUAAACAAAAUCAUUGUUUUAGGCAUGCAUUAUAAG